Molecule: transfer RNA, 72 nt
Filed under: Mustela putorius furo (domestic ferret)
Lineage: Eukaryota; Metazoa; Chordata; Mammalia; Carnivora; Mustelidae
Rfam family: tRNA
About the family: Transfer RNA (tRNA) molecules are approximately 80 nucleotides in length.
Source: Rfam by way of RNAcentral
GCCUGGUUGGCUCAGUCAUGGAGCAUGAGACUCCUGAUCUUGGGGUUGUGGGUUCGAGCCCCACCUUGGGUG